RNAcentral lists this ribosomal RNA (486 nucleotides) under uncultured Glomus. RNAcentral describes it as "SSU rRNA". It matches the Rfam family "Eukaryotic small subunit ribosomal RNA", at positions 562 to 1052 of the family's 1831-position model. The record is from RNAcentral. Lineage: Eukaryota; Fungi; Glomeromycota; Glomeromycetes; Glomerales; Glomeraceae.
UGGUGCCAGCAGCCGCGGUAAUUCCAGCUCCAAUAGCGUAUAUUAAAGUUGUUGCAGUUAAAAAGCUCGUAGUUGAAUUUCGGGAUUAGUGCGCCGGUCGUGCCUUCGGUAUGUACUGGUGUUACUGGUUCCUACCUUCUGACGAACUGUCAUGUCAUUAAUUUGGUGUGGCGGGGAAUCAGGACUGUUACUUUGAAAAAAUUAGAGUGUUUAAAGCAGGCUCGCGCUUGAAUACAUUAGCAUGGAAUAAUGAAAUAGGACGUUCGAUCCUAUUUUGUUGGUUUCUAGGAUUGACGUAAUGAUUAAUAGGGAUAGUUGGGGGCAUUAGUAUUCAAUUGUCAGAGGUGAAAUUCUUGGAUUUAUUGAAGACUAACUACUGCGAAAGCAUUCGCCAAGGAUGUUUUCAUUAAUCAAGAACGAAAGUUAGGGGAUCGAAGACGAUCAGAUACCGUCGUAGUCUUAACCAUGAACUAUGCCGACUAGGGA